This 925-nucleotide ribosomal RNA is filed under the name uncultured bacterium. RNAcentral describes it as "bacterial SSU rRNA". It matches the Rfam family "Bacterial small subunit ribosomal RNA", at positions 33 to 940 of the family's 1533-position model. The record is from RNAcentral.
ACGCUGGCGGCGUGCCUAAUACAUGCAAGUAGAACGCUGAAGAGAGGAGCUUGCUCUUCUUGGAUGAGUUGCGAACGGGUGAGUAACGCGUAGGUAACCUGCCUUGUAGCGGGGGAUAACUAUUGGAAACGAUAGCUAAUACCGCAUGACAAUGGGUGACACAUGUCAUUUAUUUGAAAGAGGCAAUUGCUCCACUACAAGAUGGACCUGCGUUGUAUUAGCUAGUAGGUGAGGUAACGGCUCACCUAGGCGACGAUACAUAGCCGACCUGAGAGGGUGAUCGGCCACACUGGGACUGAGACACGGCCCAGACUCCUACGGGAGGCAGCAGUAGGGAAUCUUCGGCAAUGGGGGCAACCCUGACCGAGCAACGCCGCGUGAGUGAAGAAGGUUUUCGGAUCGUAAAGCUCUGUUGUAAGUCAAGAACGAGUGUGAGAGUGGAAAGUUCACACUGUGACGGUAGCUUACCAGAAAGGGGCGGCUAACUACGUGCCAGCAGCCGCGGUAAUACGUAGGUCCCGAGCGUUGUCCGGAUUUAUUGGGCGUAAAGCGAGCGCAGGCGGUUUGAUAAGUCUGAAGUUAAAGGCUGUGGCUCAACCAUAGUUCGCUUUGGAAACUGUCAAACUUGAGUGCAGAAGGGGAGAGUGGAAUUCCAUGUGUAGCGGUGAAAUGCGUAGAUAUAUGGAGGAACACCGGUGGCGAAAGCGGCUCUCUGGUCUGUAACUGACGCUGAGGCUCGAAAGCGUGGGGAGCGAACAGGAUUAGAUACCCUGGUAGUCCACGCCGUAAACGAUGAGUGCUAGGUGUUGGAUCCUUUCCGGGAUUCAGUGCCGCAGCUAACGCAUUAAGCACUCCGCCUGGGGAGUACGACCGCAAGGUUGAAACUCAAAGGAAUUGACGGGGGCCCGCACAAGCGGUGGAGCAU